UUCCAUUGUAGGUUCACUGUGGUUUCUGGGAUCAUUGGCAUGUUGAUGACCAACUUUAGCCAAAAUUCAGCUGUCAGACCGAUGACCUCACAUUUGAUGCUACAAUAAUUUGGUUUACAAAGGAUUUUAAGAUCGACUCAAUGGAUGGAUGCAAGACUCCUAAGUGCUGUGGCUCCAAAGGAAGCCCAGAUCACCUCACUAUCACUUUGCCUAAAGAUGCCACUCUGACAAGAAGAAAUAUUUUACAAAGUGUCAAAAUAGAUGUCAUCAGUAGAAGAAGGUUGCUGCUGUGCGCUCCAACCCCUCCUCCCCCGUCUUUAUUCACUCAUGUAUGAGCCCCUGAAAAUCCAGCCUCUCCCUCUGCUCCGUCGCCUCCCUCUGCGCCUCUCUGUGGCAGAUGGGCACUGUGUGUGACAGCAGGGUCAUUGGGUCACAUCCACAUGGGGAAUGGUGCUGGAUUAUUACUUGAUACCUUCUGAGCAUAUCUGUUCACCUCAGACUACGUCUUUCACUAUCAAGUCUUCAGACACAGAACUGUCUACAUGCAGCAUUUACAGACAAAUUUGCAUAAUUCUGUGAGCACUUAAGUAACUGUGUAAUGUGUUCAUGUUUCUGCAUAAUGUAUUUUAUAGCAUAACAGCAUAAUGUUCCAUUACUUCUGGGAAGCAGUUCACGUGUGGAUUUUCACUUAAACGUGUCUGGAUCAUCAAAUUGUACUUUUAUGUGUUUCU
Long non-coding RNA from Xiphophorus couchianus (Monterrey platyfish), 731 nucleotides. RefSeq lists it as uncharacterized. Lineage: Eukaryota; Metazoa; Chordata; Actinopteri; Cyprinodontiformes; Poeciliidae. The transcript has 4 exons. The record is from RefSeq and is a predicted model, not a curated record.